CGCCAGUAAUCUGCGAGAGUCACCUGUUAGAACCUCCGGAGUGACGAAUCUUCACUGAGAAGAAAACAAGUGAGGAGGAGAGAUUGGGGAUUUAGAUGUGGGGGCUCCUGCUGUGAGCAAUUCACUACAUGGAGUUCCUGGAGGUGUGUCAAGGCCUACAGGCUAUGGAGGAACAGAGGGCACUGAGCAGGUAUAAACAAAGUGUCUGAGUUCCAUUCCUCUGUAGAACGAAGAAGUGUGUGCUUGAAGACCUGGAUUAGGUCCUGU
Suricata suricatta (meerkat) is the source of this 267-nucleotide long non-coding RNA. RefSeq lists it as uncharacterized. The transcript has 3 exons. The record is from RefSeq and is a predicted model, not a curated record. NCBI's taxonomy places the organism in Eukaryota, Metazoa, Chordata, Mammalia, Carnivora, Herpestidae.